CCUUAAGGGUAACACAGUUUUUUGUGUUCUUGACGCCCGCCUAGCGAUGGAUACUUUCAAAGAGCAUAUUUUUAUGUGCAUUUGACGGAAGGUUGCCUCCUCAUAACGCACAUAAAUAGGGGAUCCAAAUUCUCCAUUAUUUGCCCAACUAGGUCCUCAGCAAAGGCUCAUUUUGGCCUCAGGCUGGUCUGCGACUUCGCGGUCUCGGUGAGGUUGAUACACAUCAACGUUUCGAGGGCGUCUGGGGAAAGCACAGAGGCAACAUACACGCAUAAACAGCGUUGUAACUGGUUUUGAUGACAUUUGAGGCUAAUAUGAAUGGACAAUGUAAACGUGUAGUCACUAUGAGUCACUGCAAAGAUGAAGGAGAGAACUUGAGAGCGAUUCUGUGCUUUCCAAAAGUGAGCGAUUUUCCCUGCCAGCAAGGAAACAGCAAGAGUAACAGACACGCCGAGAGAUUACACAACUACAGAUGCCUUGAGGCAUACGAAUGAAAAAUGUUGAGGAUGGCUGUGAAAUGAUGUAAUCAAGAAAACGAAAAUUUAGGAUCGCCUGGGAGAUGGCACACAGAAAGGCCAUUUCUCCUUCAAUAGUCAGAGGAAAAGACAAGACAUCUGAAUGUUCCAGCUAUGCUUGGCCUUUUUCAGAAGUAUCAGGGCCUGUCCUGACCCUGGUGCAGCUCCAACAGUGAGUCCCUAGAGGCUCCUUCUGUCUGAUGGUCUUGGAGCAAGGCUCUUGCCAGUCGGGCAUGGUAAGGACUGGGCUUCGUGCUGUUAAGUUCUGUGCUGUUAUCUGAAGGAAAUGCAAUAUACACGAAAGGGACUGUAAGUGACAGCAGCUCCAGAGAAAGGAAAUCAGCAUUUCAGUAAGAAUUAAGAUGAAAAAAAAGACUCUGCUCCUGGAAUGAUUUAAAAUCUAGGAAACCCACUUGUGAAAUGUCUUUCUUUUUGUUCCUAGGACUCUUGAAACUUUCUUGCUGUCACACAGUAUCACCUUUUUUUUACUAUUAACUAUGAAAAAUCUUACCUAGUACUAGUCAGAAAUGGUUAUGAUAAAGGAAGCAAUGAGAUCAUUCCACACAUUCAAAAUUCAUUUACAAAAAAUAAUGUCCAGCAUAGUCUAACACCAGAUUCUUGAGACCUUUGAAGGAAAACUCAGAGGAACUGCUUGUGUCAGAUGACAGUGUCUGAAACUGAUAUCCCCACUCAGUCAAGAUUAGGGAGGAUGACCUGGUGUGGAGGCACAUACCUGUAACCCCAGCACUCAGGAGGCAGGAGGAUCACCGAUAGCUCAAGGUUAGCCUCAGCUACAUAGUCCAAAGCUAGCCUGAACUACCUAAAAAACCCUGUCUCAAAAAAAAGACUGGGAGAACAGGAUGACUAAUAACAGCAUAGCCAAGGAAGCACUGAAAGGAAGAGACAGUGGCUCUCCAUUAUGUCUUUUUGGACACAAGCUAGGGCAUAGUCUCUAACCCCUACACCCACUUUUGUCUGAAUGUAUUGUCAGUGACUAUAAAGGGAAGCAGUGUACAAUGGAGAGGAGUGACAUCUUUAUUCCCUCAUCUGGUGGCAGCCAGGAACGCAUCAGCCCCUGUGCUGUGGACAGUGGGCAAUGCAUCCAUGAAUUCUCAUGUGGCAGACUUCUGUAUUAUAUCCUGUAGUUUCCCAGAGGCAGCAGCUUGUGAAAGUCCUGCGAUGUGGAGGGCAGAGGGAACCUCCGACAAAAGGAUUCAUGGCCCAACUGCCCCAGAGGCCAUUAAAAAAUGAUUCCCAGAGUUCAGAGGCAGGGAUUGCCGGUGAAUCUCUUAGCUGCUGUUACUCCCACCCACGCAGUGGCUGGCACAUACCUGGAUGGGAGCUUUGGGAGAGGACUUCUGCUGCUGCCCAUAGAUCCUGGCUGUGCUCCAACUGGUAGAUCAGCUCUGAUUUUGACCAAGGACAGCCUGUGUAGUAAAAAGGAGGAGACAGGGAUUGGUAGGAAACAGAAUAUUUUCAAUCUAGUCUGAAACUUCAGGAUGGGAAAACCUCAAUGAAGAAGCUUCUGGGUUGCCAAAAGAAUUAAACAGUGCAAUGUGAACAAACAAUAUAAACAAAAAGAUUAUGAGAAUGGCAAAUGUGUUAGUCUCACAGGCUACCUGCAUCAUCUUUCAUAAAAUAACUAAGGCAGGAAGCCUUUCUACAGACAGCAAGAGACCUGCAAAGAAAGCAAGGAUGAGAAGAUGAGAGACCUAUAGUAAAGUACACCUGAGCUCCUUCUCAAGAACUUCACUGAGCCUGCGAGGGACUUGAAUUACAAAUUCUGACCCAGCACUGCAUCCUUGGCUAGAAAGGCUGCCUUGGUUCUGCAUAACACUUCAUGUCCUUCCAAUGCAUCCCUCUCCUUUAUCACCAAACAUAGAUUAUUUGUCUCCCAAAUCUUGCUGACUGAGACACAAAGAGAAGGAAGAGUCAAAUGCAAAGAUAUGACAGAAAGUAUAAAACAAAGAGGGCACUUCUGAGGUCUCAAUGAACAGCAAGGCCUGGAAUCAGAGGGCAAAGGAAGGGAAAAUCCAAUGGCCACAUGGCCGAGGGGAGCCUUACCCACAGUGACCAGAUGCUCACAAGUCUCCAGCAUCACCUCCCAGUAUAACAUCCUCUUGGAAAUGUCCAGCUGCCCCCACUCCUCCUCAGUGAAUCUCACAGCCACAUCUUCGAAGGUGACAGCCAUCUGGGAAGUUGAACAAAGAAUCUUUCUAGGGACUCUUGGAUAGGAUCAGACUUGAGCCAAGUAAAAGACAUAGACACUCAAGGACGAGAUCACCAAGCACCCCAAGAGGGCUGAGCCCUGUGCUGUGCUUCAGUGUAAGGAGGGUACUGCCUGAAUGGAUUGCAGCAGUGUACACCAUAGAAGUUUCAUAGGCAGGAAGACACUGCAGACUAAGUUUAGGACAGUCUCAAGUGGACUAUAGACUACAUGUAGCAAGUGCUCAGAGCUACUGAGAAACAGGAAAGAGUAACAACAAAAAUAAUACACAGAUACGACAAUAGCCCCUGUCUUAAUGGUCCUUACUGAGUGCUUGGCGCUUGUCAUGAGCCAUGGUAAAGCUACUACAAUCAGACUCCAGAAAUCAAUACCUGCUUGUUGUGUGACCACAGGACCCUUCUUUGUCUGCACCUCUAGUCUCAGAUCAAUCUUUUUCCACCUAUCCACUUAUAAGAAGAAUGAAAGAAAAAAAUGUUUAUAAAAGAAACAGGGGUGAUGGCCACAGUCUCAGAAGUCAACGCUAUCAUCCUCUCCAUUUAAAAUCCACACUGAGGUCCAGGAGGUUCUAUAAAUUCAUGCAAAUAUAUGGUGUAUGAAAGAGGCGGGAUUUGAACUGUAGGCAACCCAGUUAUGGAGAAAUGCCAUUCCCCUGUGAGCAAAGUUAACCCACAGUUAAUGAGACUGUAAUGCAUUCCAGAUAAGCUUCACUAUUAUAUCCUUACUAGCCACUUUUGCAAAUGUUUCUGUGGACUUGGCUGAAGGAGGGGAACCAUCAUCAUCCACCUUAUUAAAGAGACAUCUGAGGUACUGUCAUCUAUCUGUGAUGUGGUAGGGCCUGAAUCAGCUUGUGGAGUCAUCUGCAUCCCUUCUGGAUCCCAGUUUCCCAUGGAGAAUUCAAAAUAAUCCACUACCUUUAUUCCCUACCUGAAUCUUGCCAGGUCUUAUCACUGAAGCUAGGAUACUUCAAGAAGCAGAAACAAGACUCUAAGACAGCAUGAAUAUGGGCAUGAGAACCUGAUGUCUGGACUGGCAUCAUGUCCCUCCUAGGUAAGUAGAAAGUAAUGUUCACCAAAAGAUCACAUAGCUAGGUAUAGUGGCACAACUCUGUAAUUCUAGCUACCUAGGAGGCUGAGGCUGGAGGAUCACAAGUUCAAGGUUAAUCUGGCCAAUUUAAAGAGGGGAUGUACAUUACAUAUAAAGCACUUGUCUAGCACUUAUAACGCCCUAGGUUCGAUCUCCAUUAAGGGAAGAGGGAAAUCCCAGGUCACUGCGGAUUUCUUUUAAACCAAUGUGUGUUUCCUGAGUGACAGGAGUCUCUGCCAGAUAUGCCAGUCUAGAACGAAGUACACUUGCCUUGCAGUUUUUUUUUGUUUUUUUUUUUUUGUUUUUUUUUUUUUUUUUAUCGGUACCAGGGAUCGGACUCACGACUGCCUGCUUGCAAGGCAGGUGCUUAUGCCGCUGAGCUAAAUCCCCAGCCCCCACUUGCCUUGCAGUUUAUGCUGGGGAACUCCUGACUUUCCCCGUGCACUUUGUAGAAAACAGUGUAACAACAGGCAUGAUGACGGGCACAGCAGUCAGUUUCUGAUCAGGGCAGAAAGGGAGGCCAAGCAAAGAUUCAGAGGCAGCGUCACCAGUAAGACCGAGUGUGGGACAAGGUUGCCCAGCACAAGAGAUCUUCGUGAGGUCUGGCUCCUGGGUCUCAAGCGCAAGGAACCCGGAGAAACAGACCAGGUCGGAGGAGGGCGCAGGACUGGCAGACUCAAGGCCACAGUGUGGGGCUGCGUGCACCCAAGUGCCAGCUGACAUCUCAGAAGGAGCCGCCCUCACCGACAGUCCCCUUCCCGGGAACCAAGGGAUGGACUAACUCGCAAACAGCGGCCUCAGCCUCUCUGAAAACCAGAGGAACCACAGAGCCGGAUCCUCGUCCACUCACCUGCGCCGCCGCCAUCACGGAUGCCGAGCAGCGUGAGGCCAGCGACCUCCAGCGCCUCCCCAGCCUGGGCGGGUGACCUUGGUGGACGGACCUGUCUUCGGCCUCAGUUUCCUCCAUAUAAAAUGCGAAGGAAACACAAGGCGCGGCUGGCGGCUAGCGGGCACGUCAACCCGGCGACCAUGGGGCACUCCGUAACGGAGGAAGCUCCCAGCUCUCAAAGGACCCGGAGAACCCAGGAGUCUUCCUUGCAGCCACGCCUCACACCCCACGCUGCGACGCCAGCACUCAAAUCAGGCUGCCUCAGACGCCGGAAGUUGUCGCGCGAGAAGGCAACCGGAAGUCCCGUCCCCCCCCCACGCGCUUCAGACCGGAAACAUGCCUUAACGCAGUUUUUUUUGUUUUUUGUUUUUUUUUUAAACUGACGUCCUCCUAGUCGUGAGGACUUCUCACCGGGUUCCCGGUUCGUUUGCUACAGCGCUAACUUUUACAGUGAGUUUAUGUCGGUGGUAGCAACUCCCUCAUUAUCGGAGGCAUUCCUGAUGGGAACAUUUACCCGUGGUUAAAGUGAUUCAACAAGAGAGGCCCAGCAAGGUCUCUUUACCCCAUCUCUGCAAACGGGAUACACAUAAUUGCUGCAAGGCUGUUUGGGGACAGAUGGGCGACAACUGCAACACAUCAUGCAGAUGAAAAGGUACUGCUCUUGUUUUGAUGACAUCUAAAGCAAAGGUCAAAACCAUUCUAUACAGAGAAAGUAAAUGAACACUAUGUGUUACUGAAAAUCCAAAAGGGACAAAGAACAGUACUUGAAACAUGCCAUUUACCUGACAACAGGAAAAGAGUAAAAGUAACAAACAGAAAUUGAGAGAUCAGUCAACUACAGACGCCUUAAGGGACAACAACUGAAAUUCAUUGAAGAUCUGUGAAAAGAUGAUAAUCAAGAAAAAGGUUGGUAAAGUGUUCGCAGGCCUCCGAGAUGCCACACAGAAAGACCAUUUUCUCCUUAUAAAGUUAAACAGAGAAAAGAGACUUAAAGUCAUGUUUGCGUAUCUGGACCCUCAGUUAUGUGUUGCCCUUUUCAGAAAUAUCAGACAAUGAGAAGGACCUGUGGAACUAUUUUUCUGAAAUCUCAAUCCUGGCAUCUCUUUAACUCAGUGGUCUUAUGCUUGCUUCAGCAGCACAUAUACCAACUCUGGUCUUUAGACUACAAUUGUACCUUGGAAGUAUACUUAUUCCAAAUUCGAGUUCCAACGCAAAAUUUGAUAACUGAGCAUAUUUUUAUCAUAAGCAAUAACAGAACGCUAGGUGUGGUGACCCAUGCCUGUAAUCCCAGCACAUGAGGGGCUGAGACAGAAGGAUUGUGGCUGAUUUUUCCUAGAAGGCACCUCCCUCCCUGUGUUCUUUUCACAAACUCAAACUUCAAACUUCCCACUUUUCACCCAUGCCACAGUACUCCUUCAGUCUGCUGAUAAAACGUCAUUCUGUUCACCCCUUUAACUCCGCCCCUGUCAAAUUCCAGAUAAAGUCCACAGUUCUUUCCCAAAACCUCCAGAGGUUGCUUGCCUCUCUUCAGCAGCCUCCAGUGCCCUCAGUAAGGUGUUUUCUUUUCUGCUCUUUUUCUCUGUCACACCACAGAAGACCAAACAUUGCUGUGAGUUCGAGGCCAGCCUGGGUUACAAAGUGACCUAAAAUGCACAGUGAAACCCUGUCUCAAAACAACAACAAAAAGGGCUAGGGAUAUAGCUCAGCAGCACAGUACCUGCCUGGCAAGCAUGAUGUAGUUGAGUUAGAGCCUACGUACAAAAAUUAUUUCUUGCCAGGCGAGAGAUCCUGUUUCUGUUUCUAUCUCUGUCUCUCUCUCUCUGUCUCUCUCUCUCUCUCACACACACAGACAAAUGGAAAACCAAAUAAUUGGUCCUGAGGCUCAAAAGUUACCCUUAAAAAUUUUCUAAGAACUUUAACAAAUUUUGCAGUGAUUUCUUUAUUGUGGUUUUCAGUUUUCCUCUUAGCUUUGCUGCUGGUAGCACUGCUUUGAAGCCAUGGUUACAAUAUUUUACAUGAAGUGCAAAAAAAAAAAAAAUACCCCAGUGAAUACUUUCACACACUAACACAAAUUCCAUGUCAUCUGGGUGAAAAGGGUGCUUAGACUUAAGUGAUUUUGAUUUCCCUUUGUGUCCCCGGGGAGGCAUGACAUAUGCCUCACUUUCGGCCUGUCAGACUUUUGGUUAGACUAUGGAGCAAGGUUACUAACACCAAACACAUUUUGUUUUUCAAAUUUUGCUGGUCAAGUAGUGAACAGUUCAAAGCUGGAGCCAUCCAAGGUAUCACUGUAUCUGAUUAUCACUACUUCAGCCCCCUUGGCAUGGAUCUUGCCUCUUUGUGGUUCUCUAUAGUUUGUCUUGGUUGGCACAUUGACUCCUUAUGCUUUGGAAAUUACAUGGAAAUGGUUGAUUCUACUUUGCUAAGCUUUUAAAAUUCAUUAAUGACUCUGGCAUAUCAUUAAAGGUCAAUUUUUUAUUAUUCA
Cavia porcellus (domestic guinea pig) is the source of this 7196-nucleotide long non-coding RNA. RefSeq lists it as uncharacterized. The record is from RefSeq and is a predicted model, not a curated record. The transcript has 2 exons. Lineage: Eukaryota; Metazoa; Chordata; Mammalia; Rodentia; Caviidae.